AUAGCCUAAUUACCUUUAGGGAGUUAAAACCCUCAAGAAAUUUGAGUCUAGCACUCAAUUUUGGGGAUACAAUUGACCCACAAUGAUUUAGGGUUUUGAGUCAAGAAAUCAUGAAAUUAAUAUCAAAUUAGAGAAAUUCAUACCUUGGAUUUGUAGUAGAAAGGUGAAUUACACAAGUUGUUAAGGUUUCAAUCAACCCACAAGACCAAUUUUUUUGAGUCUCCACUCUCCUAGGGCUGCUAGG
Molecule: long non-coding RNA, 244 nt
Filed under: Capsicum annuum
Lineage: Eukaryota; Viridiplantae; Streptophyta; Magnoliopsida; Solanales; Solanaceae
Description: long non-coding RNA (CANN_LNC007213)
Source: RNAcentral